ACCGGAGCGACGAGUAGACCUCCUCGGAGAUCGAAAGUCCUCGGAAGUCGCACGCCUCGACACACACGUCGAUCUCUCAUUCGAUUUUCUCUAUCGAGCCUGGCCGCAGCGCGGUCAGCGGCGAUUUUGCUUUUUGACAACGGAAAUUUGGAAGUGAUCGUGGGAUAGAUCGUGCUACGUCAUGUGACGUCGAAAGACGGCGCACGGCGAGUGCGAUACGGAUCCAAACUAGUGAUGCAUUUCGCGGCGUUCGGCGGCUCCGGAGGCAACUCGGGAGUGCGACGGACGCCUUGAUUGAUCACUCGUACGACGCGAGCUCUGAGCUCGCGUCGGUAGAUCGCGCGUGCUCUGCUUGAACUACGAUGUAGUCAAGCGAGCGAAGGCAUGUGGGGGAUGCCUGGGCACACGGAGGCGAGGAAGGCCGUGGUAAGCUGCGAUAAGCUCGGGGGAGCGGCACACACGCAGAGAUCCCGAGAUGG
RNAcentral lists this unclassified non-coding RNA (479 nucleotides) under uncultured Gemmatimonadota bacterium. Its description in RNAcentral is "uncultured Gemmatimonadetes bacterium partial contains 16S ribosomal RNA, 16S-23S ribosomal RNA intergenic spacer, and 23S ribosomal RNA". The stretch from base 367 to 479 matches the Rfam family "Bacterial large subunit ribosomal RNA", at positions 1 to 113 of the family's 2925-position model. The record is from RNAcentral. Lineage: Bacteria; Pseudomonadati; Gemmatimonadota.